RNAcentral lists this ribosomal RNA (253 nucleotides) under uncultured bacterium. Its description in RNAcentral is "partial 16S ribosomal RNA". It matches the Rfam family "Bacterial small subunit ribosomal RNA", at positions 524 to 776 of the family's 1533-position model. The record is from RNAcentral.
UACGGAGGGUGCAAGCGUUGUUCGGAAUUAUUGGGCGUAAAGGGCGUGUAGGCGGUUCGUUAAGUCUGAUGUGAAAGCCCCGGGCUCAACCUGGGAAGUGCAUUGGAAACUGGCGAACUUGAGUACGGGAGAGGGCAGUGGAAUUCCUAGUGUAGGAGUGAAAUCCGUAGAUAUUAGGAGGAACACCGGUGGCGAAGGCGGCUGCCUGGACCGAUACUGACGCUGAGACGCGAAAGCGUGGGGAGCAAACAGG